UCUGCCCGACAGACACUUCUCCCCGACUACAUGCUAGGUAUGCAUACGACUUGGGUGACCUAUCUUCCAAGUGGGCCACUUACGUCACGAAUCUUACAACAACCAGGUUGUCAAUAUGUUUUUUUUUUUGUUCUUCAAAUUGUUUUCAUCCUUUCAUUUUUAAAUAAACCUCGCAUCGAACACUAGACAUUCAGCAUACCGCGCCAAGUCAACAACAGAGCUAAGUAUUCCAUAAUUAUCUUGUGUGUUUUUCUAUUACUUUUAGAGGCCAGAUAUGGAAGCUGAAAAAAAUGCAUCGAAGAGCAAGUUUGUUGCUUGGAUAACACAAGAUUUAAUAUUUUCAAACAAUGACUGUGACAAAUGAUGUUGCUGCGACACAUACCACUUCAUCGAAAAGUUUUGCUGACCAAUAAAUAUAAAUUUUUUUGCUUUUAUUGCUCUAACAACAGAUCGGUACAACAACAGAAAUGCAUGGGAAGAUAUACUAACAAAAACAGAUUUACUCGUAUUACCUGAAUCUGAUUCUGAAAACAGCUGAGUUUUGAGAGAAUGAACAUCCCAGAAGCACAGAAUGUCAUUUUCAUCACACUGAUGGAGUACGUGCAGUUUUCGGUCUAAGCAGCAACGACGAUAUAGUUUAGUCCACGUUUUUGAUUUGUCUUCAUUCUAUUUUCCAUAGUAAAAAUGUCAAACACUCGAACUUUCAAACCAUGGAAACUAAAUAUUUCUGUUGAAAAUCAAUUACAAAAUUGA
Long non-coding RNA from Daphnia carinata, 753 nucleotides. RefSeq lists it as uncharacterized. The record is from RefSeq and is a predicted model, not a curated record. Lineage: Eukaryota; Metazoa; Arthropoda; Branchiopoda; Diplostraca; Daphniidae. The transcript has 3 exons.